GACGAACGCUGGCGGCGUGCUUAACACAUGCAAGUCGAACGGUGAACUCCGCUUGCGGGUGGUUCAGUGGCACACGGGUGCGUAACACGUGGGCAACCUGCCCUCAGCUCUGGGAUAACUCCAAGAAAUUGGGGCUAAUACCGGUUAUGACCGCUGACCGCAUGGUCUGGUGUUGGAAAUAUUUAUCGGCUGGGGAUUGGCCCGAGGCCUAUGAGCUUGUUGGUUGGGUAGUUGCCUACCAAGGCGACGACGGGUAGCCGGCCUGAGAGGGUGACCGGCCACAGUGGGACAGAGACAAGGGCCAGACUCAAACGGGAGGAAGGAGUGGGGAACAGUGCGCAAAGGGCGAAAGGAGGGAGGAGCGACGCCGGGUGGGGGAUGACGGCCAUCGGGGUGUAAAAAACUUGCAGGAGAGAAGAAGCGAAAGUGACGGUACCUGUAGAAGAAGCACCGGCAAACUAGGU
This 464-nucleotide ribosomal RNA is filed under the name uncultured bacterium. RNAcentral describes it as "partial 16S ribosomal RNA". It matches the Rfam family "Bacterial small subunit ribosomal RNA", at positions 28 to 506 of the family's 1533-position model. The record is from RNAcentral.